Molecule: ribosomal RNA, 117 nt
Filed under: Nitrospinota bacterium
Lineage: Bacteria; Pseudomonadati; Nitrospinota
Source: RNAcentral
GUCGGUGGUCAUUGCAAGAGGGUCACACCCGUUCCCAUUCCGAACACGGAAGUUAAGCCUCUUUGCGCCGAUGGUACUGCCCUGGCGACGGGGUGGGAGAGUAGGUAGCCGCCGGCU